This is a transfer RNA of Felis catus (domestic cat), 73 nucleotides long. It matches the Rfam family "tRNA". Rfam says of the family: Transfer RNA (tRNA) molecules are approximately 80 nucleotides in length. Lineage: Eukaryota; Metazoa; Chordata; Mammalia; Carnivora; Felidae. The record is from Rfam.
GUCUGGCUGGCUCAGUUGGUAGAGCAUGUAACUUUUGACCUCAGGGUCAUGGGUUCAAGCCCCACGUUGGACA